AAAAAUCCUCAGCGCACACAAAAUUCAUCCAUACUCCUUUAGUCACCUCCACAGAUCCUCAGCAAAUAAUAUUUUAAGAUCUAUUUUGUGGUUUUUAGUAAAUAUAAUAAAAACUUAAUGAAAUAGAAUUUAAGUAGGUUUAAAAAAUUUGUUUAUUAGGUUUUAAAAUAAAUAUAAAUAAUAAAAUUAAUUAUAAAUUAUUUUAUUAGUAAGGAAAUCAAAGAAUGAAAAAACAAUCAGGGCUCUGUCAAAUAAGUUUAUAUAUAUGGAGUUGUCUAUGCUCUGCUGUGUUUAUAAUAAUUUAAAUAUCUAAAUAAAUAAUUAAUUAUUUAAAUAUAUGUUAAUUAUUUAUCAUUAAAAGAGAAGAGGAAAACGAAGGGAAGAGGAAAGCGAAGUGUUAGUGAUCGAUCAUUAGGAGGGGGUUGUUCUAGGGACGGUGUUUUGCCAGUACUGUGCCGGUAGAUUCGUCAGUUGGUCUGUGUUUGCCUCCUUUGCUCUUAGAGAAGGGGAUGGCUCUUUGAAGGUUUGGUUUUAAUGGGUUGCUCUGGUGGUGAUUUCCCUCGUCGCUCCCGUUUAUUGCCAUAUUAUUUUAUUUGUUUUUGUUUGUUUCUCCAUAUUUGGUGCUUGCACGUUGAGGAAUUGGGUUGGGAUAUGUUGGUUUGGAGGUGAUCGUGUGCUUGUGCUUGACAGUUUCCUUAUUAUGUUCGAUGGUAAUGGAGAUCCAGGGAUUAGUUUGCCAAGCUUUGUUCUUGGUUCCCUCAUGGCAUAGAGUUUGCCAGUGAUUUUCGCGUGCUGCCGUCCGAGUUGUGCUUCUUGGGGGAGAACUGGCUAGUUUGGUCCUUUGAUCUUCUAUCCGCUUGCUUCUUCCUGGCUGGACAGUGUUCCUAGGUACGUAGUUGAUGGUCGGUUGGUGCUUGAUCAGUGUUCUGGGGUUGAUGGUCUGAGUUUCUGUGCUUUCUCAUUUUUUAUAGAAUUUGGAUUUGAAUUGUGAUUUGGGGCUCUUUUUUUGGGACUCGGCUUGUGUGUGGAACACUGGACUGGUUGUUUGUUCUCUUUGAACCUAUAUGGACCAUUUCCUGUAUUUUGUCCACUGUGGGCCUUGUUAAAUGUUACUACUGCAUUUGUCCAAAAAAAAUAUUUAUCUUGUUGUUUUUAUUUUUAUUAAUAUUAUUAAAUUUAACUUUAAAUAAAUUUUAAUUAGCAUAUUUUUACUAAUAUUAACUUAAAUAACUAAAUUCAAACCUUAUUCUCUGAAAUUAUAUACAAACAAGCUAUAACACCUCAUAAUGCCAUCAUUAUCAAAUAAAAUAUACAUUAUUCUGAAAAUUAUUUAAUUAAUUUUAUUUCAUAUAAUAUGAUGCUCAUUCUUUUUAAAAAAAUGAAAUUUUUAAAUUAAAAAUAAUGGAAAUAUUUAACUGUCAAUAAAAAAAUAUAUUAAAUGAAAUUUUUAUAAAAGUAUUGAUUUUAAAUGGAAAGAUUAUGUAGUCAUUGAGAUACAUCUCAUUAUUUAAUAAUGUAAAAUAAUUAAAAUGAGAUUGAAUUUUAAAAUAAAAUGUUAUGAAAGAAAUCUAAAGUAUAAACUAAGAGAGUCAGCCAAUUAAAGGAUAUAAAAAGGAGGGGAGAAGAAGGGCUAAUAAAAGUUGUACAUCACCAUUGUUAGAAUAAUAAUGUAUUUUUUUAAAAUUAAUUUUGUUAAAGUAUUUAUUAUGAAAAUUUGAUAAAAAUUCAUUUUAAUUUAAUUGAUAACUUAAUUAUAAGAGAAAUGAUAUUAUAUCUGUGGGCAAAUAUUAUAUUAUUAUUAUUUUUUAUAUGUUAUCUAUAUAUUUUUUUAAAUGCUUUGAUAUUCAUAAAUUAAAUAAAUAUUUAUUAAAAAUAUUUUAUUUUUUAGUGAGUGGAUAUGAAGCAAACGAUAUAAUAUUUUCCUUCCUUCUUAGCUGAAGAUGGAUCCAUACAACAACCUGAAGAAGUAGAUGAGCUUGGUGGAGAAGAAUUAGGCGGCCCGGAGGAAGUAUUGCCGGUGAGCAACGAAACCUGCGCUCCA
RNAcentral lists this long non-coding RNA (2041 nucleotides) under Manihot esculenta (cassava). RNAcentral's name for it is "long non-coding RNA (MESC_LNC004579)". The record is from RNAcentral. Lineage: Eukaryota; Viridiplantae; Streptophyta; Magnoliopsida; Malpighiales; Euphorbiaceae.